UACGUAGGGUGCGAGCGUUAAUCGGAAUUACUGGGCGUAAAGCGUGCGUAGGCGGUUCGUUAAGUGCGUCGUGAAAGCCCCGGGCUCAACCUGGGAAUGGCGAUGGAAACUGGCGGGCUGGAGUAUGGCAGAGGGGGGUGGAAUUCCGCGUGUAGCAGUGAAAUGCGUAGAGAUGCGGAGGAACACCGAUGGCGAAGGCAGCCCCCUGGGCCAAUACUGACGCUCAUGUGCGAAAGCGUGGGGAGCAAACAGG
This 253-nucleotide ribosomal RNA is filed under the name uncultured bacterium. RNAcentral describes it as "partial 16S ribosomal RNA". It matches the Rfam family "Bacterial small subunit ribosomal RNA", at positions 524 to 776 of the family's 1533-position model. The record is from RNAcentral.